UUAGGAAUCUUGGACAAUGGGCGAAAGCCUGAUCCAGCCAUGCCGCGUGAGUGAUGAAGGCCUUCGGGUUGUAAAGCUCUUUAGCCGAUGAAUAUAAUGACUGUAGUCGGAGAAUAAGCCCCGGCUAACUUCGUGCCAGCAGCCGCGGUAAUACGAAGGGGGCGAGCGUUGUUCGGAAUCACUGGGCGUAAAGCGUGCGUAGGUGGCGAUGAAAGUUAGGAGUGAAAGCCCAGGGCUCAACCUUGGAAUUGCUCUUAAAACUACAUUGCUCGAAUCUCGGAGAGGAUAGCGGAAUUGUCAGUGUAGCAGUGAAAUGCGUAGAUAUUGACAGGAACACCAGUGGCGUAAGCGGCUAUCUGGACGAGUAUUGACACUGAGGCACGAAAGCGUGGAGAUCAAACAG
Molecule: ribosomal RNA, 403 nt
Filed under: uncultured bacterium
Lineage: Bacteria
Description: bacterial SSU rRNA
Rfam family: Bacterial small subunit ribosomal RNA
Source: RNAcentral